CUGGAUUCUGCAGUAAUCUGCCGAUCUGCAAUAUUACCACAGUAAAUAAUGGAUAGACCUGAAAAUGAACGUGUACCUCGUGCCAAAAUUGCAGAUACCCCAUGAGCAGGAAACCUCAGCAGUAGAAACAAUUUUAUAUGAGGGAAUGUACUCUCUCCUUUGCAUUUAUCCUCAAAUCUGUAUUUUUAGCCCCUCACUUGUCUCUACAGAGACAAGUGAGUUGCUUAAUCUAAUUGCUGACUGUACAUCUCCAGGAAACUGUGUUUGCAGGGUCAACAUUUCAUCCUCUAGAAAGCAGGGCAAUUCAUGGCUUGGAGUCUUCUUGUUUAUAUCCUAGAAACCAGAACAAAUUUCAUGGGACCCCUCACCGCCAACAACCAGCAGGGAAGGUGGAGAGAGGGCCACAGCUGUCUUUGUUGGGCGCCUGUGUGUGCCUGCUGUGUGCAUGUGCUGGAGAGACUAAGCAUAGAGAAGGGCCCAAGCGAUGAGGGAAAGUGAGUCUCCUGGCUGCUCCAGUCCCUUCUUUCCAGGCACAAAGAAGUUGAACUUGUUUUUCAUGUAGGCCCCGUUCAUCUCACUUCAGCUUUUAGUAACAGUGUGUAUGUGCAUGAGUAGCUGUGUGUGACAGAGUAAGUCCCUGUGCCUUUCUAGAUUUCAGUAAUUCAGGUUUGCGGUUUCAAGAGAAAUAAUCUGUAAAUGACACAAGAACAAAUUUAUAAGUUAGAUUAGCAACUUUACGUUGCUUAAAAUCUGAUGUUAUAUUUUUAAAAAUGCCCCUGGGUACAGGCAAAAUUAUAUGGCCACUGGAACUGAAGUCCUUACCAGCUGUAUGAGGAAUAUUCAGAUUGUUUCUGUUAUCUCUGCAUUUUAAAGUAGCAAAAUACUAAGCCAUUAGGUUAUUGAACCUGUAAUAUUCCCACAGGGGUUUUAUGUCUACCCCAUGUGAUUCAGUUAAUUUUCCUGGACUCUGGUUAGACUGCUUCCUUUCCCUCUUAGGCAUUUGGACCCCAAAGGUAGGUAGGUAAAAGUGUCAUUUUUAAAGAUUUUACCUGUUGGGGAAUUUCCUGGUUGCUGCUCCUGGAAAGCGUGCAGCUGGCCUGCAGGAGUCUGACAUUUCCAGUCAGUGGGGAGAGAAGACUUGUG
RNAcentral lists this long non-coding RNA (1143 nucleotides) under Macaca mulatta (Rhesus monkey). Its description in RNAcentral is "lncRNA (ENSMMUG00000060130.1)". The record is from RNAcentral. Lineage: Eukaryota; Metazoa; Chordata; Mammalia; Primates; Cercopithecidae.